RNAcentral lists this ribosomal RNA (414 nucleotides) under uncultured bacterium. Its description in RNAcentral is "bacterial SSU rRNA". It matches the Rfam family "Bacterial small subunit ribosomal RNA", at positions 945 to 1359 of the family's 1533-position model. The record is from RNAcentral.
AUUAAUUCGAUGCAACGCGAAAAACCUUACCUACCCUUGACAUGUCAGGAACUGGGCCGAGAGGUUUGGGUGCCCGCAAGGGAGCCUGAACACAGGUGCUGCAUGGCUGUCGUCAGCUCGUGUCGUGAGAUGUUGGGUUAAGUCCCGCAACGAGCGCAACCCUUGUCCUUAGUUGCCACCCGCAAGGGGGCACUCUAGGGAGACUGCCGGUGACAAACCGGAGGAAGGUGGGGAUGACGUCAAGUCCUCAUGGCCCUUAUGGGUAGGGCUUCACACGUCAUACAAUGGUCGGUACAGAGGGCUGCCAACCCGCAAGGGGGAGCCAAUCCCACAAAGCCGAUCGUAGUCCGGAUUGCAGUCUGCAACUCGACUGCAUGAAGUCGGAAUCGCUAGUAAUCGCGGAUCAGCAUGCCG